GAGAUUUGUAAAGGUAGGGGUGGUGAGGAGGUGAGUAGUGAACCGGUGGAGGAGGAGAAUAGACGGGAGGUGGCGGCGAUUUGUAUUCGUAGUGUUUCUUUGGUGGUGGGGGAGAGUGGUAAACCGGAGGGGGAGGAGACUGGUAAACCGGAGGAGGAGGAGAUUUGUACUCGUAAUGCUUCUUAGGUGGGGGAGGAGAGUGGUAAACCGGAGGAGGAGGAGACUUGUAAACCGGUGGAGGAGGAGAUUUGUACUCGUAGUGUUUCUUAGGUGGUGGAGGAGAGUGGUAGACUGGAGGAGGAGGAGACUUGUAAACCGGUGGAGGAGGUGAUUUGUACUCGUAGUGUUUCUUAGGUGGUGGGGGAGAAUGGUAAACCGGAGGAGGAGGAGACUUGUAAACUGGUGGAGGAGGAGAUUUGUACUCGUAGUGUUUCUUAGGUGGCGGAGGAGAGUGGUAAACUGGAGGAGGAGGAGACUUGUAAACCGGUGGAGGAGGAGAUUUGUACUCGUAGUGUUUCUUAGGUGGUGGAGGAGAGUGGUAGACUGGAGGAGGAGGAGACUUGUAAACCGGUGGAGGAGGAGAUUUGUACUCGUAGUGUUUCUUAGGUGGUGGAGGAGAGUGGUAGACUGGAGGAGGAGGAGACUUGUAAACCGGUGGAGGAGGAGAUUUGUACUCGUAGUGUUUCUUAGGUGGUGGAGGAGAGUGGUAGACCGGAGGGGGAGGAGACUUGUAAACCGGUGGAGGAGGUGAUUUGUACUCGUAGUGUUUUUUAGGUGGUGGAGGAGAGUGGUAAACCGGAGGAGGAGGAGAUUUGUAAACCGGUGGAGGAGGUGAUUUGUACUCGUAAUGUUUCUUGGGAGGAGGUGGAGACUUGUAAACUGGAGGAGGAGAGUAAUGCUUGACCGGUGGUGGAGGUGAUUUGUACUCGUAGUCCUUCUUUGGUGGAGGUGGGGAUUUGUAAACCGGAGGAGAGUAGUGCUUUACCGGUGGUGGAGGAGACUUGUACACCGGAGGAGUGUAGUGUUUGACCGGUGGAGGAGGAGAAGAGUAGUAGUAAUUUGCGGU
This 1066-nucleotide long non-coding RNA is filed under the name Brassica napus (rape). RNAcentral describes it as "long non-coding RNA (BNAP_LNC006434)". The record is from RNAcentral. Lineage: Eukaryota; Viridiplantae; Streptophyta; Magnoliopsida; Brassicales; Brassicaceae.